ACCGAAUUAGUCGAACCGAAUCAGCCGCUUUGGUUCGAUUAUUGAGGGUCGGUUAUCGGUUUCGAUUAUGCUUGGCCAAAUCUUGAUUACUAAAAAAGCGAUUCGAUCUUCCUUGUUCGGUUAAUCGAAUAAAUCGAACCGAUUGUUAAUCAAAACAACAUCAUCUUGUAUAUGAUAAAAUGACAUCGUUUUAUGCUAAUAAUCGAAUGCCGUGGAGAACAAGGGCUACCAGCUACGCAUCCAAACCAAAUCCAAUCCAUUGUAUUUGUGUUAUGUUCGAGAGUCUUCAAUUCGAAUGUAACGAGAGAGAGAAGGGGGGGGGGGGGGGGGAGAACCCUAGUACCCAACCGUUGCCGUCGCUUCCUUCCGGUGCUUCCUUCUUCGCCGUCACCUUUCAUCGCCUUUCCCUUUGCCGUCAAACGUUAACAGAGGUGAGUUUGAAGGUGAGUUUGAAUCUUUAGCAUUUGAGGGAGAGAGAAACCCUAAUCCAUCUCAAUCCUAAUCGAAACUGAGAGAAGUCUUACUGUCCAUCAAUUUGUCACCGUCGGUUAACUCCUUGCCUCAUUCCAUUCUACUCAUAACCAAAAUCCUAAACCUAAAGCCUAGUCGUUUAUCAUCGAGCGUCAGUUAGUUUGAUUAUUUUCUUUCCACAAUAUCGACCCACACCACACCAAGUCACCGACGUUCAACCCAUUCAGCCACUCCUACAACCAACAGAGAAAAUGAUGGUCCUGAGGAACUAGAAGAAGGUGAAUGGAUUCCAAAUGAAGACCAUGAAGUAAAUGAUCUAAGUGGAAGUGUUUCAGAUGAAGGUAAUUACAAAAUGAUGAUACUUCUCCUAAAAUGGAAUGAAUUUGCUUCUUACUUUGCAAAAUUUUGUCUAUGUGGAGCAUGGUCCACUUUUUGUGUGGCUCAGUGUCAUAGGGCGGGACUUAACCAAUAUCAAUGCUAUGCACUUCAUGAUUGAUUUUGCUGCAUGAACAGUGAAAAUUUUCAGCAUGCCUGGGUGUUGGACAAGCUCAAGGCUGAGCUGAGCGCAAACGUGGUAUCACCAUUAACAUUGCCUUGUGGAAGCUAGUUUGAGAUUACCAAUUACUAUUGCUGCUGCAACAAGAUGGAUGCGACAACUCCGAAGAAUUCCAAGGCAAGGUAUGAUGAAACAGCAAACUUGGGAGUUAUAAUAUCAUGUUUUAUGUUUAUAUGUUUAUGUUCUUUUACAUUUUUAUGUCAAACCCAUGUCUCCAAUCACUUGUACAUUGAUUUGAAUAUUUCCUUAUUAGUUAUAAUAUUUUUUACUUUUCUC
Diospyros lotus (date-plum) is the source of this 1303-nucleotide long non-coding RNA. RefSeq lists it as uncharacterized. Lineage: Eukaryota; Viridiplantae; Streptophyta; Magnoliopsida; Ericales; Ebenaceae. The transcript is spliced from 5 exons. The record is from RefSeq and is a predicted model, not a curated record.